Molecule: ribosomal RNA, 527 nt
Filed under: Salmonella enterica subsp. enterica serovar Infantis
Lineage: Bacteria; Pseudomonadati; Pseudomonadota; Gammaproteobacteria; Enterobacterales; Enterobacteriaceae
Also listed under: 1 other name
Description: bacterial SSU rRNA
Rfam family: Bacterial small subunit ribosomal RNA
Source: RNAcentral
AAAUUGAAGAGUUUGAUCAUGGCUCAGAUUGAACGCUGGCGGCAGGCCUAACACAUGCAAGUCGAACGGUAACAGGAAGCAGCUUGCUGCUUCGCUGACGAGUGGCGGACGGGUGAGUAAUGUCUGGGAAACUGCCUGAUGGAGGGGGAUAACUACUGGAAACGGUGGCUAAUACCGCAUAACGUCGCAAGACCAAAGAGGGGGACCUUCGGGCCUCUUGCCAUCAGAUGUGCCCAGAUGGGAUUAGCUUGUUGGUGAGGUAACGGCUCACCAAGGCGACGAUCCCUAGCUGGUCUGAGAGGAUGACCAGCCACACUGGAACUGAGACACGGUCCAGACUCCUACGGGAGGCAGCAGUGGGGAAUAUUGCACAAUGGGCGCAAGCCUGAUGCAGCCAUGCCGCGUGUAUGAAGAAGGCCUUCGGGUUGUAAAGUACUUUCAGCGGGGAGGAAGGUGUUGCGGUUAAUAACCGCAGCAAUUGACGUUACCCGCAGAAGAAGCACCGGCUAACUCCGUGCCAGCAGCCG